GGGAGCAUAAAAGAAUUAAGAUGUGUUAUGAAUGUGCUCAUUAUGUACUGCAAACCUGUGCCAAUAAAAAAGGCUGUGGAAGGGCUGGGAUUGAGCUCAGUGGUUCCACUGCCUGCCUCGAAACCACAAGGUCCCGAGUUCGAUCCCUGGUAACAAAACAAACAAACAAAAAACGGCUGUGGAAAAACCUGUAACCUGUCUAUUAGCAAUGUUUUAUAUUGAUUCUAUGGUAUUCUGAAUAUACUGGGUUAAAUAAGUUACAGUCUUUUUUUUCUUAGUUGGUCUUUUGAGACAGGGUCUCGCUGUGUAGUCCGGGCUGGCCUUGAGCUUGCGGCAAUCCUCCUGCUUCAGCCUCUCGACUGCUGAGGUUACAGGCUGCACCACCGCGCCCGGCCGAGACACAGUCUUAAAAGCAGUUCCGCCUGCUCCUUUUCUUGCCGUCUUAGUGUAGCCCCUAGGAGAUGUUUUAAUGGCCCGUUCUAUUUCUUCAUUUCUCCCUGGCCUGGGCUGCUGGCUUGGCUGACUUGCACGGAGGUAACAGCGGGGCAGAGGCUGGGAGGAGCAGAGGGCGGGGCGAUCGCCUCCUUCGAAGGCACGCAGUCCCGGAGUUUCCAGCCGUGUACCUGGGGGCACAGCUGCCCUGAGCGUUCGCGGGGUGUGGCCGCCCCUGCCCCCCCCAAAUGUCCUCCGCCUCUAACUGUGACACCGCCAAAGGUCCCGGGCCCUCGGCUGAGAAUCCGCGUUUGGAAGCUUCCGGUCUCCAACCACGCGAAGAGGGCACAUCAGUGUACUUAAAAGCACCGACAGGAGCCAGCCUGGCAUCCCAGCCUUCUGGAAGGCUGAGACAGGAGGAUCGCAAGUUUGAGCCCAGCCUGGACGACUUAGCAAGACCCUGUCUGAAAACAAAAGUGUUUGGUGGUUUACCGGCUCGAUUGGCACAACAGGGAUGGCGCCCAGGACUCCGCGAGCUGCCGCGACCCUCCGAGGAGCGCACACACAAGGACCCUAACCUAGGGCGGAUGCCGCGGAGACCCCCACGCGGCCCGCCCGCUGCCAGGGAUCACCGUGCCGCACCGAGUCCUGCAGGGCACGGCCGCCGCACAGGCCCCUCCAGUCUCCGCCGCCAUGGUGCAAGCACGCGGAGCAGGAUCCAAACCGCAGAAAUAAGAAUUUCCGGUUUCUCGUGACAAAUCAGAAAUCCAGUGAACUGGACAGGUGCGUGGAGGCCUCGGUGGGGUCCGCGGUGCUGCCCACCCUUUCCCGCCGGCCCCUCCACGCCUGCUGCCCACCAUCAGGCGGGAUUUUCAGGAAGCAGCUUGGGCCCCAAGCACAUUGGGUCCUGAGAGCAGGAGACCCCGUUUAUCAGAGUCCGUGCGGGAGUCUGGGCCUCAGGCUUGGCCUACUGCACACCCAGGUUCCACCCUGGCUCUUACAAAUAAGUGUAAAGGAGGACGGAGGGAGGGAGGGAGUUCAACUUAACUUUCACCCUAAUCACCACGUGACAUCAUUUUGCCGUAUUUGAGGCCCCCCCCCCGCCCCAUCUCCUUAAUGUAAAUUGCAGGUAUCACUCAUCUUUGCCCCAAAAUAUUACAGUGUAGAUUUUUUAAAAUUAAUUGUAUUGGCCCAUUUUAGAUAUACAUAACGAUCACAUUCAUCAUUGGGAAUUUGCACCUGUACAUGAUAGAUCUUGCUUCUUCUUUUCCCAUUCCCCUUGGACCCUUUGACUCCUCCUCCCCUCAUUAUAUACAAAAGCUUUUUUCCAUUUUUCCUUCUAUUCUUUUUUUUUCUUGUCCCUUCCUUCCUUUCCCUCCCCUUCCUUUGUUCCCCUUCUCAUUUGAAGAUUUUCUUCCCAUUUCCCAACAUCCAUUAUACAUUUUUGUCCUUAUUUACCCUUUCAGUUUCUCACACUGUUCCGGAAUCGUGGAAAGAAAUGCACGGGGACACAGAAUUUGGGUAAAAAAACAAAACCUUUACUUGCAAGCGAGUGGGAACACCAGAAACUCAUCUGAUCAAUGUCUGCCCCAUUCUUUGUUUUAACAUUUCCUUUUAUAUCUUCUUUUAGCCUUUACCUCAUUCCUGGUGGUCUUAGUAAAAUUUCUAGUUCCCUUUUACAACUAGUUCCUGUUAAUGGUUAUAGUCACAGACAUAUAACAAAUAGAUGGCGCCUAAAAGACAUACAUUGUAAACUACCCAAACAUUUCUACUUUGUUUUUCUCCAGGUUCAAUGUUAUCUACAGCUAGGUUAUAGGUCAAAGUUUCAGUUAGCCAUCACCUUAAACAAUAUGAGUUAUGGGAAAGGUAAAUCUUAAAGGAAUGCACUACUUAUUCUACUUCAGCUACCUUAAUAACUAACCUAUAGUUUAAAUUUUCUCUAUCAACACCAGGGAAACUGUGGUAUUUAAACAUGUGUGUCCAAUUUAUCUCACUUAA
This is a long non-coding RNA of Heterocephalus glaber (naked mole-rat), 2430 nucleotides long. RefSeq lists it as uncharacterized. The record is from RefSeq and is a predicted model, not a curated record. Lineage: Eukaryota; Metazoa; Chordata; Mammalia; Rodentia; Bathyergidae.